RNAcentral lists this ribosomal RNA (460 nucleotides) under uncultured bacterium. RNAcentral's name for it is "partial 16S ribosomal RNA". It matches the Rfam family "Bacterial small subunit ribosomal RNA", at positions 338 to 795 of the family's 1533-position model. The record is from RNAcentral.
CCUACGGGAGGCAGCAGUGAGGAAUAUUGGUCAAUGGGCGCGAGCCUGAACCAGCCAAGUAGCGUGAAGGAUGACUGCCCUAUGGGUUGUAAACUUCUUUUAUAUGGGAAUAAAGUGCAGUAUGUAUACUGCUUUGCAUGUACCUUAUGAAUAAGGAUCGGCUAACUCCGUGCCAGCAGCCGCGGUAAUACGGAGGAUCCGAGCGUUAUCCGGAUUUAUUGGGUUUAAAGGGAGCGUAGGCGGGUUGUUAAGUCAGUUGUGAAAGUUUGCGGCUCAACCGUAAAAUUGCAGUUGAUACUGGCAGCCUUGAGUACAGUAGAGGUAGGCGGAAUUCGUGGUGUAGCGGUGAAAUGCUUAGAUAUCACGAAGAACUCCGAUUGCGAAGGCAGCCUGCUGGACUGUAACUGACGCUGAUGCUCGAAAGUGUGGGUAUCAAACAGGAUUAGAUACCCUAGUAGUC